CUUGUUGACUGAUUUCUUGAUUUCUCUCUCAGGAAGAGUUGCAGAGAAUGAAUCUUGAACUAAUCAGGAAAAGAUUAAACUCAACAAACAGCUCCCUUAGUCGGCAACAUCAUUGAGGUCAGUCUUCAUUGUCAGAUCAACAACCCUGGUUGAGAAUGCGAUCCACUUCUUUGCAUGGACGCAGGAAACUGGAGUCCUUGCCAAAGGAUUCACCUAUUAGCAUGUCUUGAAAACCCGUUUGGGCCUGUUGCAGAUGAUGAAAGGGAAGGAACUUCAUGUGAUUAUAAAUAGGAGAGGAUUCAAAUUUGAUGUUUCCGUGGCAAAUGCUCUGAUUGAUAUGUAUGGAAAAUGUGGGGAUCUGGAGGCUGCUCGUUGGCUGUUUGACAGAAUGCCUCAGAGAGAUGCUGCUUCAUGGACAUGCAUGAUAUCUGACUACUUGCAAAGAGGGAAUGGGUUCUGAUGACCAGUUGCCGCCUGGGUUUGAGGGACCUCAAGUCGCUGCCCUCCAAAUCCCUCCGAUCACGCGGCAAUGUCCUCCCAGAUUGGAUAGGGAUUUAUUGCCGAAGGCUUACAAAAGACAUCAGCUAGGUUGGGCAAUGUGGCCAUGAUGCAUACUAAUAUACUGGAUUGAGGAGGCUGGAUAGAUUAUCGCAGAGAUCCUCAAAGAUUGUCCAUCUUGGUUCCGGGAUUGCCGAAGCCUCGAAGUCUUCAACAUGUUUCCCGCUGGAAACAGAGGGACAAUUGAAUUGAUAUACAUGCAGAUGUAUGCUCCAACAACCUUAGCUCCUCCACGUAACUUCUGGACUUUGAGAUACACCACAAGUUUAGAAGAUGGCAGUCUAGUGGUAUGUCAUGCCACCAAGUCCUCUUUAUAGAUAGCUGAUUAGUAAGUGUUUCAUUUGGGGAGCCACUAUGCAUUCCCACCCCUUUGAUUUGCUAGUACCCAUCUUCCAUUUUGGUAAUUGAAACCAUUCUAGUAUACAAUACCCAUUUCCCAUUUUGGCAAUAUAAAUUGUUUUUGUCUUCUAUUUCAAUCACCAAAAUGCAAAUUGGGUAAUAGCAAAUCAUUCAGGGUGGUUUUAGAUAUUAUUUCCUUUACUACCCGGAGCUGUUGGAAAGGGUCCAUUUCCAUUUGUGUAAAUUUAACUAAAUUUUGAAGACAAACUUUCCAUAGUUUUCUACUAUAUGGGAAGGCAAUGCUAAUGAAACUUGUCAUUGCCUAAGAUUGUGAGGAGGAAUGAAAAUAAAA
Magnolia sinica is the source of this 1249-nucleotide RNA transcript. It is a transcript of the gene named homeobox-leucine zipper protein HOX9-like, with no coding region annotated. The record is from RefSeq and is a predicted model, not a curated record. Lineage: Eukaryota; Viridiplantae; Streptophyta; Magnoliopsida; Magnoliales; Magnoliaceae. The transcript has 6 exons.